This 488-nucleotide ribosomal RNA is filed under the name Trimma sp. NMBE 1066438. RNAcentral's name for it is "partial 12S ribosomal RNA". It matches the Rfam family "Bacterial small subunit ribosomal RNA", at positions 868 to 1527 of the family's 1533-position model. Lineage: Eukaryota; Metazoa; Chordata; Actinopteri; Gobiiformes; Gobiidae. The record is from RNAcentral.
UUCGCCAGGGGACUACGAGCAUUUACAGAGCUUAAAACCCAAAGGACUUGGCGGUGCUUUAAAUCCAUCUAGAGGAGCCUGUUUUUGAACCGAUGAUCCCCGAUCAACCUCACCUUCUUUUGCCCUAAUGUAACAGCCUGUAUACCUCCGUCGUCAGCUUACCCUGCAAAGGACCCAAAGUAGGCACAAUCGAUUAUUAUAUCCCCAACAAGUCAGGUCAAGGUGCAGCCUACAAGAAGGAUAAAAUGGGCUACAUUUACUGACACAGUAAACUACGAAUCAUACGAUUGAAAUAUAAAUGUGAAGGAGGAUUUAGUAGUAAGAUAAGAGCAGAGUGCUUCUCUGAAAAAGGCCCUAAAGCGCGUACACACCGCCCGUCGCCCUCCUCAAUAAACAUCCCCACCUCAUAAAUAAUAAGCCAAAUGGACUAUCAACGAGGAGGUAAGUCGUAACAUGGUAAGGGUACCGGAAGGUGUCCUUGGGACAAC